RNAcentral lists this long non-coding RNA (218 nucleotides) under Strongylocentrotus purpuratus (purple sea urchin). RNAcentral's name for it is "uncharacterized LOC115920211". The record is from RNAcentral. Lineage: Eukaryota; Metazoa; Echinodermata; Echinoidea; Camarodonta; Strongylocentrotidae.
AUCAUAUUUAUUCCUCAGAAUCAACUACUACGCAAGACCCCACGAAGAUAUCUACUACGGAACCCACCACCUCACAUCCUUCCAAAACAACUCGACAUACCACAACGAUGUCUACGACGGAACCCACCACCUCAUACCCUGCCACAACGACUCAAUCAACUACUACACAAGAUACAACAACGAUGUCUACGACGGAACCCACCAACUCAUACCCUGCC